CUUUUAAAGGAUCCAAGUCUAAUGCCG
RNAcentral lists this transfer RNA (27 nucleotides) under Egernia depressa. RNAcentral's name for it is "partial tRNA-Leu". The record is from RNAcentral. Lineage: Eukaryota; Metazoa; Chordata; Lepidosauria; Squamata; Scincidae.